AGAGUGGGCCAGGCGGCCGCUCGCGGCGCGCCGGACGUGCCGCGGGAGGAAAGUCCGGACUGGACGGGCACGGUGGUCGCUAACGGCGACCGGGGGCGACCCCAGGGAAAGUGCCACAGAGAACAGACCGCCGAUGGAGGCCGCUGUAGGGUGGGCGGCGCCCACCAGCCAGGGACUGCGGUCGAUAUAGAUGGUGGGCGGUGCCCACACCCUACAGCGCUUCACAGGCAAGGGUGAAACGGUGCGGUAAGAGCGCACCGCGCGUCCUGGUGACAGGCGCGGCACGGCAAACCCCACCGCCAGCAAGCCCAAGUAGGGGGCGAUGAGCCGGCCCGGCUCGUGACCAGCCCCGGGUAGGGUGCUUGAGCCGGUCGGGAACGACCGGCCCAGAGAAAUGGCCGCCGCCCGCUUUCGGGUGGCACGCUCUGGCGAAGCCAGGCCGUGCGAGCCCGCAGGCGGGGACAGAAUCCGGCUUACCGGCCCACUCUGCCG
RNAcentral lists this RNase P RNA (492 nucleotides) under Phycisphaerae bacterium. RNAcentral describes it as "RNase P RNA component class A". It matches the Rfam family "Bacterial RNase P class A". Rfam says of the family: Ribonuclease P (RNase P) is a ubiquitous endoribonuclease, found in archaea, bacteria and eukarya as well as chloroplasts and mitochondria. Lineage: Bacteria; Pseudomonadati; Planctomycetota; Phycisphaerae. The record is from RNAcentral.